This 253-nucleotide unclassified non-coding RNA is filed under the name uncultured bacterium. RNAcentral describes it as "partial 16S ribosomal RNA". It matches the Rfam family "Bacterial small subunit ribosomal RNA", at positions 524 to 776 of the family's 1533-position model. RNAcentral also lists the same sequence under 1 other name. The record is from RNAcentral.
UACGGAGGGUGCGAGCGUUGUCCGGAAUCACUGGGCGUAAAGGGCGCGUAGGCGGCUCGGUAAGUCACUUGUGAAAUCCCGGUGCUCAACGCCGGGGCCGCAGGUGAGACUGUCGGGCUGGAGCUUGGUAGAGGCGAGUGGAAUUCCCGGUGUAGCGGUGGAAUGCGUAGAUAUCGGGAAGAACACCGGUGGCGAAGGCGGCUCGCUGGGCCAAUGCUGACGCUGAGGCGCGAAAGCGUGGGGAGCAAACAGG